This 879-nucleotide long non-coding RNA is filed under the name Nicotiana tabacum (common tobacco). Its description in RNAcentral is "long non-coding RNA (NTAB_LNC017552)". Lineage: Eukaryota; Viridiplantae; Streptophyta; Magnoliopsida; Solanales; Solanaceae. The record is from RNAcentral.
ACUCCCAACCCCUUCCCCCCCCCCCAAAAAAUAUCCGCACAUCUCCCGCUCUAACCUUUCCCCACUCUAAGCAACUAUCCCUAAAACCCUCGUUCUUCUUGUUUUAGAAAACAGAAAUUGUCAAGGUAUGGCCCCCCUAGUUUUUUUUUUCCUUCUUAAUUAUUUCGAUUUUUGCCAUGCUUUCCUAGGAUUCUUGAUCGAGAAUAGUUCCUUUCACUUUCAUCAUUAUAUUAUGACAGUGAAAUGGCAAUCCCGACUUUAGCUAUAUUGAUAAGUGCCAAGAAUUUAAAAGAUUGCCAAAUUCAAAGCAAUGAAUUGGGAAUCUCUCCUAUUAUGAAUGGAGGGCCUUUUUCGUAUAUUUUAAUUCCUAUAUUUGCCUUUUGUAAUCUGUUUAAAUUAGUUUGUUGUAUGGAAAUUAGUAGUUGAAUCUUAAUUCUGUAGUACUAAGCCUGAACAAGCCUUUUAUAUUGCCUAUGUUUGCCUUUUGUAAUUUGUUUAAAUUAGUUUUUCUAUUUUCUUGUAUAUUGUAUAUUUUUCAUUACCUUCAUUUGCGGAUUGAGGAUCUUAAAUGGCUUUUUGGGUUGUACCCAGUUUACAGUUAUAUGCACACACAAAAAACUAUACUAAUAAAUCUUCUCUAUUAGAGUAAGUACUGUUCACAGUUGUAGUCGCUAAUAUCUAUGUGAAUACUUGCAGAAAGUAAAUGAGUUGGUGAGGCACAAUAUUCACCCAAACUUGAUGAUCAGUUGAGUGGAUACAGGGUGAGUAUAUGCAUUCAUUUGAUGUACAACUUACUAAAUAAAUGGUCAUAUGGAAAUGCAUCUUCGCUUCCUAUAUAUUUUUGUACUUCUUGUGGAAGCUAGCAAUGAUGCAAACAGG